RNAcentral lists this ribosomal RNA (496 nucleotides) under uncultured bacterium. RNAcentral describes it as "partial 16S ribosomal RNA". It matches the Rfam family "Bacterial small subunit ribosomal RNA", at positions 28 to 507 of the family's 1533-position model. The record is from RNAcentral.
GAUGAACGCUGGCGGCGUGCCUAAUACAUGCAAGUCGAGCGAACGGACGAGAAGCUUGCUUCUCUGAUGUUAGCGGCGGACGGGUGAGUAACACGUGGAUAACCUACCUAUAAGACUGGGAUAACUUCGGGAAACCGGAGCUAAUACCGGAUAAUAUUUUGAACCGCAUGGUUCAAAAGUGAAAGACGGUCUUGCUGUCACUUAUAGAUGGAUCCGCGCUGCAUUAGCUAGUUGGUAAGGUAACGGCUUACCAAGGCAACGAUGCAUAGCCGACCUGAGAGGGGAUCGGCCACACUGGAACUGAGACACGGUCCAGACUCCUACGGGAGGCAGCAGUAGGGAAUCUUCCGCAAUGGGCGAAAGCCUGACGGAGCAACGCCGCGUGAGUGAUGAAGGUCUUCGGAUCGUAAAACUCUGUUAUUAGGGAAGAACAUAUGUGUAAGUAACUGUGCACAUCUUGACGGUACCCAAUCAGAAAGCCACGGCUAACUACGUG